This 538-nucleotide long non-coding RNA is filed under the name Homo sapiens (human). RNAcentral describes it as "HSALNT0323983". Lineage: Eukaryota; Metazoa; Chordata; Mammalia; Primates; Hominidae. The record is from RNAcentral.
UUUUUUUUUUUUCCUCAGCCUCUUCCAGAUGUUCAUUAACUACUGUUGCCUCCAUUUAUCUAAGUUGGCACACAGAAGAAGACUGAGGUGAAAUCUUCGGGGGUCCACGAAGUGUUUGUAGUGGCCGGUUUCGUGGCAUAGUGAUCAUUAUAACAGUGAUUCAUUUCACCAAGUAUUAAGCACCUACUCUUUCCCGUAGGCCUGGCUAGGCCUAGAGAUGGAGGAAAACGUCAAAGUAAUGGAAUACAAUAUCCUUGUCUUUGAGUAGAAGAUACAAGGCUCAGAAUGACUAAGAAACAUACAGCUAGUGAGUGGUACAGGCUGGAUCUGGACCCAGAUGUGUCUCGCUCCAGAAUCCAUGCUUCUUCCACUCUGUCUCUGAAUUGGGAAUCAAAAGAUCUGCCAGAAGCUAAAAGAGCAAAUGUGUGAUUGAAAAACCAAUGACUGCUCUAAACUCACCUAAAGAGUCAGUGAGAAGGGAGAAUGUUUAACAGUGAAGCGCAGAAAAGGGCAGGGUCUGAGGAGCAGAACUGGGAGA